CUCCUACUAUGUAUUUAUAGAUUAGAUAAACUCUAGCCCAUAUUUUCCUGUUCAUUCAGCUGCAGAGUUGCAUGAAUUAUCUAGACUAGGG
Long non-coding RNA from Sphaeramia orbicularis (orbiculate cardinalfish), 91 nucleotides. RefSeq lists it as uncharacterized. The transcript has 3 exons. The record is from RefSeq and is a predicted model, not a curated record. Lineage: Eukaryota; Metazoa; Chordata; Actinopteri; Kurtiformes; Apogonidae.